Molecule: ribosomal RNA, 342 nt
Filed under: uncultured soil bacterium
Lineage: Bacteria
Description: bacterial SSU rRNA
Rfam family: Bacterial small subunit ribosomal RNA
Source: RNAcentral
AGAGUGAACGCUGGCGGCAGGCCUAAUACAUGCAAGUCGAACGGCAGCACAGCAGAGCUUGCUCUGUGGGUGGCGAGUGGCGGACGGGUGAGGAGUACAUGGGGAAUCUGCCCAGUCGUGGGGGAUAACGUAGGGAAACUUACGCUAAUACCGCAUGCGCCCUCCGGGGGAAAGCCGGGGACCUUCGGGCCUGGCGCGAUUGGAUGAGCCCAUGUCGGAUUAGCUAGUUGGCGGGGUAAAGCCCACCAAGGCGACGAUCCGUAGCUGGUCUGAGAGGAUGAUCAGCCACACUGGAACUGAGACACGGUCCAGACUCCGUACGGGAGGCAGCAGUAGGGAAUA